RNAcentral lists this ribosomal RNA (415 nucleotides) under uncultured bacterium. RNAcentral's name for it is "bacterial SSU rRNA". It matches the Rfam family "Bacterial small subunit ribosomal RNA", at positions 355 to 787 of the family's 1533-position model. The record is from RNAcentral.
UGGGGAAUAUUGCACAAUGGGGGAAGCCCUGAUGCAGCAACGCCGCGUGAGUGAAGAAGUAUUUCGGUAUGUAAAGCUCUAUCAGCAGGGAAGAAGAUGACGGUACCUGAGUAAGAAGCCCCGGCUAACUACGUGCCAGCAGCCGCGGUAAUACGUAGGGGGCAAGCGUUAUCCGGAUUUACUGGGUGUAAAGGGAGCGUAGACGGCCAGACAAGUCUGAAGUGAAAGCCCGGGGCUCAACCCCGGGACUGCUUUGGAAACUGCCCGGCUAGAGUGCUGGAGAGGUAAGCGGAAUUCCUAGUGUAGCGGUGAAAUGCGUAGAUAUUAGGAAGAACACCAGCGGCGAAGGCGGCUUACUGGACAGUAACUGACGUUGAGGCUCGAAAGCGUGGGGAGCAAACAGGAUUAGAUACCC